RNAcentral lists this ribosomal RNA (1299 nucleotides) under Platyvelia brachialis. RNAcentral's name for it is "partial 16S ribosomal RNA". Lineage: Eukaryota; Metazoa; Arthropoda; Insecta; Hemiptera; Veliidae. The record is from RNAcentral.
GCCUAUUUUUUAUUUAUUUUAAUCUUUUUAUUUUAAUUUUUAAUAAAAAUAUUUUAUUUUUUAGUAUUUUUUGGAAUUAAUAUUUUUUAAUUAUAGUUGAUAGUACUGUGAAGGAAUAUAAUUAAUUUAAUAUAAGUAUUUUUUAUUUAAAAUACCUUUUGCAUCAGGGUUUAUUAAUUUAAUAAAGUUAUUUUAUUUUCUCGAAAUUUCAAGAUUUAAGUUAUAAUGUUUUUUAUUGUUUCAUAAAUAUAUAUAAUUUUAACUUAGAGGUUAUAUGCUUAUUCAAUUGAAAUUAUAUCUAGUUGGCUAAUAAAUGAAUUUAAUUCAGAACUAAAUUUGUUUUUAUUUAAUUUAAUUAUAUAGAAAAUAUUUAGUUUAAAUAUCUUGGGGAUAAGCUUGAGUAUAUUUGUUAAAAAUUUUUCAUUUAAGAUUUUUUUUAGGAUUAAUAAUUUUCAUUUUUAUUUUGUUAUAAUUAUCUUUCUUUUUAUAUGAUUUUUUUUAUUUUAAUUUUUUAUUAGUCUUUUUUUAUAAAUUUUAUAUAUUAAUUAAUAAUGAUAAAAUUAGUAAUUUUUUUAAUUUAAAUAUAAUAAUUCGGCAAAUUUAAUUUUCACCUGUUUAACAAAAACAUGGUCUUUUGUUUUUUAUAUAAGAUCAGACCUGCCCAUUGAUUUUUAAAUAUUAAAAGGCUGCGGUAUUUUAACUGUACUAAGGUAGCAUAAUCAUUUGCCUUUUAAUUGGGGGCUAGUAUGAAUGGUUUGAUGAAAGAUUAACUUUCUUUAUUUAAUUUAUUUGAAUUUAAUUUUUUAGUUAAAAAGCUAAAAUUUUUUUAUAGGACGAGAAGACCCUAUAGAAAUUUAUUUUUUAUAUAAAUUUUGAUUUUUGGAUAAUAUUUUUGAAUUUUAGAAUAAAAAAUUUUGUUGGGGUGACAGUAAAAUUUAUAUAACUUUUAUUUUUAUUUUCAUAAAUAAAUGUUUUUUUUUGAUCCAGAAUUUUUGAUUAGAAGAUUAAUUUACCUUAGGGAUAACAGCGUGAUUUUUUCGGAGAGUUCAUAUCGAUGAAAAAGUUUGCGACCUUGGUGUUGAUUUAAGAUUAGUUUUGGGUGCAAAAUUUCAAACUACUUGGUCUAAAAUACUAAUAUUAACCUCCAUAUUUAAAGUAACGAAUUCACGAUCAGUUUGAUAUUAAUUUAAUUGAAAUCAAGAAAAAUGGCUUUAAUAUAAGCUAGAACAAGAAAAAAGGACAUUAAUGUAACAUAUAACAUGAAAGAUGUCAUUCAUAUUCUUUAUAACAAAGAAUUAC